AUGAACGCUGGCGGCGUGCUUAACACAUGCAAGUCGAACGGAGUGUACUCUUGAUGAAGAUUCGUCUGAUUCAGCUGUACACUUAGUGGCGGACGGGUGAGUAACGCGUGGGUAACCUGCCUCAUACAGGGGGAUAGCAGCUGGAAACGGCUGAUAAAACCGCAUAAGCGCACACUAUCGCAUGAUAGAGUGUGAAAAACUCCGGUGGUAUGAGAUGGACCCGCGUCUGAUUAGCUAGUUGGUGAGGUAACGGCCCACCAAGGCGACGAUCAGUAGCCGGCCUGAGAGGGUGAACGGCCACAUUGGGACUGAGACACGGCCCAAACUCCUACGGGAGGCAGCAGUGGGGAAUAUUGCACAAUGGGGGAAACCCUGAUGCAGCCGACGCCGCGUGAAGGAUGACGUAUUUCGGUAUGUAAACUUCUAUCAGCAGGGAAGAACAAGUGACGGUACCUGACUAAGAAGCCCCGGCUAACUACGUGCCAGCAGCUGC
Molecule: ribosomal RNA, 493 nt
Filed under: uncultured bacterium
Lineage: Bacteria
Description: bacterial SSU rRNA
Rfam family: Bacterial small subunit ribosomal RNA
Source: RNAcentral